AUCAGUAUGAACUCAAAGUUGGUGUGAAACGAACCUGCCUCUGGCAAAUCGCGAUUCGUGCACUAAAAUCAUUGAAGCUGCUCACAAAAAGCUGCUUUCAAUAGGUGUUUCAAUCGCGCCAAAGGUGGCAUACUCAACAGCCUUCAUUUCAUUGUAUAAUUAAAUUAUAAAAUAAAUAAAAAAUACAAGAAAGGAAAAUAGGAUCUGUUGAAUCUGUUAGGGAAGCAAGAGCAGCCGAAAAACAAUUCCACCGCAGGAAGAAAAAAACAGUUAAGAUCAAAUGAUUAGUGAGGGCAGGAAAGAAUGGAGAACGAAAUGCGGAGGUUAUAUGGAACUAUCAAUAAAGUGUGGAGGAAGACAGCGCCAGCUACCGCCAUGUUCAAUGACCAAGAAAGAAAUUUGCUGACAGAUAAGAACGAGGUGGCUGCCAGAUGGAAGCCAUACUUCGAGACUUUGUGAAACUGCAGAAGUGCCGUUUGGAUCUCCAGUUGCCUUACGAGCAAAGGAGUAGGAUCGCCAAUCCGGAGAUAGCGAGAUCGAUUGCCUGCUGGACAAAGUUAUCAGAAAAACUAAUUCUUAUUAUUAACAUUUACACUCUAAGCUUGACGUACUAAAAGUUCCGUUAAAUCCAACGCAAUUUUGUUGAAAAUAGGAUAACCUCAAAAAAUUAAGUAAAAGAUGCUUUUCGUUUUCUGUUGAACAUUUCCAACAAAACACUGAAGACGUUUUCUAAAAGAAAAUUAAAUACGUAUUUAUCGACUCGGAAUGGGGUGACGAGCUCGGUGGUCUAGUGGCUACCGCUUCUGCCUUAUAAGCAGGAGGUCGUGGAUUCAAUUCCAGGCUCGUACCUUACAUACUUUGUAUUUCUAUCUUAGUUCUUUCUGUGUUUCACGUUCUACCAAAAUGAUUCCUACUGUUAUAACCUGCCACACAAACCCAAAACCUCCCGUGACAUCUAUGAGAGGUCGUAGAGCUCUCUAC
Armigeres subalbatus is the source of this 981-nucleotide long non-coding RNA. RefSeq lists it as uncharacterized. The record is from RefSeq and is a predicted model, not a curated record. The transcript has 3 exons. Lineage: Eukaryota; Metazoa; Arthropoda; Insecta; Diptera; Culicidae.